UCCUCAUAAGUUUUGUUUCUCGAUGUUGACAUUACAGAAAACACUUAUAAGUUGGGCAUGUGGUUGCACAUGUUCAUAGGCCCUAAUGGAUUCCCCUCUUUUGUAUUUACACAAGGAUGAGAAUUGACAAGUUUAGCAAAUGACCAUUUUAUCCUUACAGUUAUUAGUAGUUUCUACUGGAAGGAAGAGUGGGGGGCAACCUCAAGCUGUCUAUAAAAUGGCUGCAGCUUCAUUUCAAACAUAUAUUUCAUAACUCUCUCUCUCUUAUUUGAUUCUACAAUGGCAAUGAAGAAGAUAUCAUUAGGCACUUUCAUGCUGUGUUUUGCUGCUUUGAUGGUUUUCUUCCUGGCUGAAAAUCUGCAGGCAAGUGAUUUAGUCGCAGCAGCAGCACCUGCAGGGGACAACCAACUGGUAAUUGACUAAAUCUUAAUUCUUGUUUAUUAUAGAAAUUGUCUGUCUUCUUUUGAUCUCUUGAAAUAGUAUUAGUUAUUUUUGUAGCAUGGUGCAUCGGAAGGUAGCUUACGACCAGAAGAGUGUGGGGGACGAUGUUUGGGAAGGUGUUCGAAAACAGCAUACAAAAAACCGUGUUUGUUCUUCUGUAACAAGUGCUGUGCCAAGUGCCUUUGUGUGCCUCCGGGGACUUAUGGAAACAAGCAACUUUGUCCUUGUUAUAAUAACUGGAAGAC
This is a long non-coding RNA of Impatiens glandulifera, 686 nucleotides long. RefSeq lists it as uncharacterized. The record is from RefSeq and is a predicted model, not a curated record. The transcript is spliced from 2 exons. Lineage: Eukaryota; Viridiplantae; Streptophyta; Magnoliopsida; Ericales; Balsaminaceae.